GCUGUAUCAUCCAAGAGUUAGUUCAAACAACCUUUUAAUUAGUAGGAUUUAAACUUCAAAUAUUCAUUUUAUAGAAUAUUGACCAUAAUAGUAAAUUUGAAUUUCAGAAAGAUCUCCUGCUCCUCUUGGCCUCAAAAGCAGAUAUUUGAUAAGUGGACCUUUUAUAUUGGAUCAAGAGAAAGAAAUACUCCAACCGAUUUAUAGAAUGAAAGAUUUUUAUUUUUGAACUUCUGGACAUUACAUAAUUACUCAAGAAGCAAACCAUUACAAAAAGACAAAGAUGGCAAGAUCAGUCACAAUAAAUAGACAUGUACAUGA
Long non-coding RNA from Hemicordylus capensis (graceful crag lizard), 318 nucleotides. RefSeq lists it as uncharacterized. The transcript has 3 exons. NCBI's taxonomy places the organism in Eukaryota, Metazoa, Chordata, Lepidosauria, Squamata, Cordylidae. The record is from RefSeq and is a predicted model, not a curated record.